Molecule: ribosomal RNA, 411 nt
Filed under: Planococcus liqunii
Lineage: Bacteria; Bacillati; Bacillota; Bacilli; Caryophanales; Caryophanaceae
Description: bacterial SSU rRNA
Rfam family: Bacterial small subunit ribosomal RNA
Source: RNAcentral
AUAAUGGAGAGUUUGAUCCUGGCUCAGGACGAACGCUGGCGGCGUGCCUAAUACAUGCAAGUCGAGCGGAACACUUGGAGCUUGCUCCAAGCGUUUAGCGGCGGACGGGUGAGUAACACGUGGGCAACCUGCCCUGCAGAUCGGGAUAACUCCGGGAAACCGGUGCUAAUACCGAAUAGUUUGUCCUCCCUCCUGGGAGGAUACGGAAAGACGGUUUCGGCUGUCACUGCAGGAUGGGCCCGCGGCGCAUUAGCUAGUUGGUGGGGUAACGGCCCACCAAGGCCACGAUGCGUAGCCGACCUGAGAGGGUGAUCGGCCACACUGGGACUGAGACACGGCCCAGACUCCUACGGGAGGCAGCAGUAGGGAAUCUUCCGCAAUGGACGCAAGUCUGACGGAGCAACGCCGCGU